ACAUGUGUUUUUUUUUUUUUGAAAACUUUGCUUUGGUGGGCCCACGGCCUGCCAGAGAUUAAACUCAACCAAAUUUUUUUUUAAGUCAACUGAUUAACUAAUAGUCAAAACUUUCAACAACGGAUCUCUUGGUUCUCGCAUCGAUGAAGAACGCAGCGAAAUGCGAUAAGUAAUAUGAAUUGCAGAUAUUCGUGAAUCAUCGAAUCUUUGAACGCACAUUGCGCCCUUUGGUAUUCCAAAGGGCAUGCCUGUUUGAGCGUCAUUUCUCCCUCAAACCUUCGGGUUUGGUGUUGAGCGAUACGCUGGGUUUGCUUGAAAGAAAGGCGGAGUAUAAACUAAUGGAUAGGUUUUUUUCCACUCAUUGGUACAAACUCCAAAAUUCUUCCAAAUCGACCU
RNAcentral lists this ribosomal RNA (396 nucleotides) under Lodderomyces orthopsilosis. Its description in RNAcentral is "eukaryotic LSU rRNA". The stretch from base 109 to 262 matches the Rfam family "5.8S ribosomal RNA". Lineage: Eukaryota; Fungi; Ascomycota; Pichiomycetes; Serinales; Debaryomycetaceae. The record is from RNAcentral.